This 422-nucleotide ribosomal RNA is filed under the name Enterobacter cloacae. Its description in RNAcentral is "bacterial SSU rRNA". It matches the Rfam family "Bacterial small subunit ribosomal RNA", at positions 69 to 480 of the family's 1533-position model. The record is from RNAcentral. Lineage: Bacteria; Pseudomonadati; Pseudomonadota; Gammaproteobacteria; Enterobacterales; Enterobacteriaceae.
GUAACAGGAAGCAGCUUGCUGCUUUGCUGACGAGUGGCGGACGGGUGAGUAAUGUCUGGGAAACUGCCUGAUGGAGGGGGAUAACUACUGGAAACGGUAGCUAAUACCGCAUAACGUCGCAAGACCAAAGAGGGGGACCUUCGGGCCUCUUGCCAUCGGAUGUGCCCAGAUGGGAUUAGCUAGUAGGUGGGGUAACGGCUCACCUAGGCGACGAUCCCUAGCUGGUCUGAGAGGAUGACCAGCCACACUGGAACUGAGACACGGUCCAGACUCCUACGGGAGGCAGCAGUGGGGAAUAUUGCACAAUGGGCGCAAGCCUGAUGCAGCCAUGCCGCGUGUAUGAAGAAGGCCUUCGGGUUGUAAAGUACUUUCAGCGGGGAGGAAGGCGAUAAGGUUAAUAACCUUGUCGAUUGACGUUACCC